Molecule: long non-coding RNA, 656 nt
Organism: Eriocheir sinensis (Chinese mitten crab)
Lineage: Eukaryota; Metazoa; Arthropoda; Malacostraca; Decapoda; Varunidae
Exons: 5
Source: RefSeq, a predicted model, not a curated record
GACAAGAUCGCUGGCCCUUUCCACCUUGGCCAUCCACCUCUACCACGAGUUGGCCCACCAAACACUCCACACCAAGGUUAACAAGGCCAUCAAUGUGCUCCAGGCAUACCUCAAGAGCCCAUCCAGCGCUGGGCCCGGCCGCUGCAAGCCUUGUUGGGUCAAUGUGUGGGAAAUCAGCCAAGGUGGAGUUUGAGUCGGUCGGCCUCAACCAUGAGGGCUGUGUGAGCGGCAGGCUGGCCGUGAGCCUUCCUGGGAGUGCUGGGCGCCCUGGUGCCCCGGCUGAAGGCAAGCGGCCUCCCUGAGACACCCAAAGACUGGCUGACACAAGAUCUUGUGCUGGUACUGGUGUCUGAAGGCUGUGCAGUGGUGCGGACACAGGCUCAGAGUGCCCAGGUGGACCAAGAUGCUGGUUGCCGCCUGCCUGGGAGCAGAUUCACAGAGGUCAGCGCGGGGCAGCAGGACAGCGCCCUCAGCAGUGACGAUGAGUCUCUCCAUGAAGGCUGCACAGCAGCAGGCCACCGUCGCCCGAGAGCAUCCCGAGGAACACUUCAAUGUCCAGGUGUGAGGAUGUCAAGCCACCACAAGCCAGGAGGGAAGUGGCUGCUGGGGCCAAGACAGCAGGUGAAGCAGAACCCUUAAGCCUCAGGUCUUCACCC